Molecule: ribosomal RNA, 266 nt
Filed under: uncultured bacterium
Lineage: Bacteria
Description: partial 16S ribosomal RNA
Rfam family: Bacterial small subunit ribosomal RNA
Source: RNAcentral
GUCCACGCCCUAAACGAUGUCAACUGGUUGUUGGAAGGGUUCCCUUUCAGUAACGAAGCUAACGCGUGAAGUUGACCGCCUGGGGAGUACGGCCGCAAGGUUGAAACUCAAAGGAAUUGACGGGGACCCGGCACAAGCGGUGGAUGAUGUGGUUUAAUUCGAUGCAACGCGAAAAACCUUAACCUACCCUUGACAUGUCUAGAAUUUCGCAGAGAUGUGAAAGUGCUCGAAAGAGAACCAGAACACAGGUGCUGCAUGGCCGUCGU